RNAcentral lists this ribosomal RNA (3306 nucleotides) under Rhagovelia sp. RNAcentral's name for it is "partial large subunit ribosomal RNA". It matches the Rfam family "Eukaryotic large subunit ribosomal RNA". Lineage: Eukaryota; Metazoa; Arthropoda; Insecta; Hemiptera; Veliidae. The record is from RNAcentral.
UGUGCGGCGAGCGACAGGGAGAAGCCCAGCACCGAAUCUCCGGCGUCCAGCGCGCCGGCGAAGUGUGGUGUUGAGGAGGGUCCACUACCCCGGAGCACGCCGAGCCGAGUCCAAGUCCUUCUUGAACGGGGCCACGGUCCGUAGAGGGUGCCAGACCCGUAGCGGCCGGUGGCGUCUCCGGGUGGACUUUUCCUUAGAGUCGGGUUGCUUGAGAGUGCAGCCUAAAGCGGGUGGUAAACUCCAUCUAAGGCUAAAUAUGACCACGAGACCGAUAGCGAACAAGUACCGUGAGGGAAAGUUGAAAAGAACUUUGAAGAGAGAGUUCAACAGUACGUGAAACCGUUCAGGGGUAAACGGGGGAGACUUGAAAAUCCGAAAAGAGAGAUUCACGUCUUCCGCCGGCCUCGCCAAUCCUUCCCGCGGACGGCAGCGCCCCCUCGCUCAGACUCCGGUCCGGGCGUUUGCGGGGCCGGCCGGGCGGGGCGGGAGCGGCAGAGCCGCGGAGGACCGCACUUCUCUCUUAGCAGGACGUCGCGACCCGUCCGGAAGCAAGGCCUAACGGCCCGACACAUAGUCUCGGGUUAGCCGGCGGCCGCAAGGCCACCGGCUCCCGAGUUGGUCGGACCGAGGCGGCGUUACGGACGGUAGCAGUUGACGGUUGUCGAACCGCUCCUCGGAGCGCCUCUGACCACCGCCGAGUCGGUCGCCGAGUGGCGGUCGCGGGCACCCAGGGUGCCCGCGCCGCCUCGCCUCCGGCUGUCGGGGCGGUGGUUCUGGGGCCGCGUUCGCAUCACCCGUCGGCGGCGCCGCAGUUUCGAGCUCUCACCCGACCCGUCUUGAAACACGGACCAAGGAGUCCAACGUGUGCGCGAGUCUCUGGGUUAUCAAACCCAAAGGCGUAAUCAAGGUGAAGGGGAAAUACCUCUUCCCCCAGGGAGGACGUGGGCUUGCUCUUCUCGGGCGGCCCUCCGCACUCCCGGGGCGUCUCGCGCUCAUUGCGAGUGGAGGCGCACCUAGAGCGUUCACGUUGGGACCCGAAAGAUGGUGAACUAUGCCUGGCCAGGACGAAGCCAGGGGAAACCCUGGUGGAGGUCCGUAGCGGUUCUGACGUGCAAAUCGAUCGUCGGAGCCGGGUAUAGGGGCGAAAGACUAAUCGAACCAUCUAGUAGCUGGUUCCCUCCGAAGUUUCCCUCAGGAUAGCUGUCGCCCAAGUUAGACGAGUCUCAACCGGUAAAGCGAAUGAUUAGAGGCCUUGGGGUCGAAACGACCUCAACCUAUUCUCAAACUUUAAAUGGAUGAGAACCCCGACUUGCUUGACUUGUUGAGUGAAGUCGGGGCUCGGAUCCGGGCGACAAGUGGGCCAAUUUUGGUAAGCAGAACUGGCGCUGUGGGAUGAACCAAACGCGGAGUUAAGGCGCCCAAAUCGACGCUCAUCGGACACCAUGAAAGGCGUUGGUUGCUUAAGACAGCAGGACGGUGGCCAUGGAAGUCGGAAUCCGCUAAGGAGUGUGUAACAACUCACCUGCCGAAGCAACUAGCCCUGAAAAUGGAUGGCGCUGUAGCGUCGUGCCUAUACUCCUCCGCCAACGGCAAGAUACGGCACCGGGGACCCCGAAAGGGAUCCACGGAGCCCGUUAAGCCUUGGUGAGUAGGAGGGCCGCGGCGAUGUGCGCAGAAGGGUCAGGGCGCGAGCCCGCCUGGAGCCGUCGCCGGCGCAGAUCUUGGUGGUAGUAGCAAAUACUCCAGCGAGGCCCUGGAGGACUGAUGCGGAGAAGGGUUUCUUGUGAACAGCCGUUGCACAAGAGUCAGUCGGUCCUAAGCCCUAGGAGAAAUCCGAUGCCGAUUGGGGCCAUUAAAUAAUCUCGGCGAGCCGCCGGGCUGACUACUCACGUCUAUGUGUGCGGUCGGGUCGGCCGGUCUUGCCAGGUGACAAGUGGUCGCUCUAGGUCGGGCGAAGGGGAAUCCGGUCUCUAUUCCGGAACCUGGCCAGCGGUACCGUCCAAAGUCGGGCCCUCGGACGAGGACUCGUCGGGGUAACCAAAAAGGACCCGGAGACGCCGUCGGGAGAUCCAGGGAGAGUUGUCUCUUCUCUAUAAGCGUUCGAGUUCCCUGAAAACCUCUCGCAGAGAGAUAGGGUUUGGAGCGCGAAGAGCACCGCAGUUACGGCGGUGUCUGGAUCUUCCCCUCGGACCUUGAAAAUCCGGGUGAGGGCUACGAGGAACACCGCGCCAGACCGUACCCAUAUCCGCAGCAGGUCUCCAAGNNNNNNNNNNNNNNNACCACUACUUUCAUAGUUUCCUUACUUACUCGGUGAGGCGGAGGGCGUCCGUCGCUGGCCUCCCGGCCACGGCGAGACGGUCUUCUUGCGCCAAACGCGGGGGUUGGCGCCUGCCUCCUGUAGCGUCGGUUUCCCGGCUGGUCGCGAGAGCCUUGCAGGUUCUAACGGCCCGAGUGGAAGUCCGGCGCGAUCCAGGAGCGUUUGGUUCAAGCCAGCGCACUCCCCGGCGAGAUCCGAUCCGAGGACUCUUCCAGGUCGAUAGUUUGAGUGGGGCGACACAUGUGUCAAACAAUAACGCAGGUGCCCUAGGGCCAGCUCAGCGAGGACAGAAACCUCGCGUAGAGCAAGAGGGCAAAAUGUGUUUUGAUCCCGAUGCUCAGCACGCAUAGGCAGUGCGAGAGCACGGUCUAUCGAUCCUUUUGUCUUGGAGAGUCUCCAGCGAGAGGUGUCAGAAGAGAUACCACAGGUAUCACUGUCUCGUGGCGCACAAGCGCUCAUAGCGACGUCGCUUUGUGAUCCUUCGAUGUCGUCUCUUCCUAUCAUUGCGGAGCAAAAUCCGCCAAGCGUCAGAGUGCUCCCCCGCCAAUAGGGAACGUGAGCUGGGUUUAACCGUCGUGAGACAGGUUAUUUUACCCUUCUGAUGACUUAAACUUUUCAUUGCAACGGUAAUCCUGCUCAGUACGAGAGGAACCGCAGAUUCGGACAUUUGGUUAUGCACUCGGUCGACAGGCCGGUGGUGCCAGGCUAUCAUCCGCGGGAUUAUGCCUGAACGCCUCUAAGGCCGAAUCCCGCCUGAUAGCCCUGACACUUUUAGGGGUCCCAUGGGUCGAAAGGCUCAAACCAAUGUGAAACUGUAGGUGGAUCCGGUUCGUCCGGUCCAUCGCACGAGCCAUAUUACCGGGGGGGUCCUCGCGCGGGUUCGGUCCCGGACUAGAGUCCGGUCGGACCCCGACCUUCCUGGCUAACGUGGGUCACCCUAACGGGAGUUCGAUGUUGGGACCCGGAGCCGUCUGUAGACGACUAGUAGA